Molecule: ribosomal RNA, 505 nt
Filed under: uncultured bacterium
Lineage: Bacteria
Description: bacterial SSU rRNA
Rfam family: Bacterial small subunit ribosomal RNA
Source: RNAcentral
AGAGUUUGAUCCUGGCUCAGAUUGAACGCUGGCGGUAGGCUUAACACAUGCAAGUCGAGCGGAAACGAAGAAUAGCUUGCUAUUCUGGUGUCGAGCGGCGGACGGGUGAGUAAUGCUUGGGAAUAUGCCUUAUGGUGGGGGACAACAGUUGGAAACGACUGCUAAUACCGCAUAACGUCUACGGACCAAAGGGGGGGAUCUUCGGACCUCUCGCCAUUUGAUUAGCCCAAGUGAGAUUAGCUAGUUGGUAAGGUAAAGGCUUACCAAGGCGACGAUCUCUAGCUGGUUUGAGAGGAUGAUCAGCCACACUGGGACUGAGACACGGCCCAGACUCCUACGGGAGGCAGCAGUGGGGAAUAUUGCACAAUGGGCGAAAGCCUGAUGCAGCCAUGCCGCGUGUGUGAAGAAGGCCUUCGGGUUGUAAAGCACUUUCAGUUGUGAGGAAAGGGAUGUAGUUAAUAGCUGCAUUCUGUGACGUUAACAACAGAAGAAGCACCGGCUAACU